This is a ribosomal RNA of Dendrobium catenatum, 119 nucleotides long. The record is from RefSeq and is a predicted model, not a curated record. Lineage: Eukaryota; Viridiplantae; Streptophyta; Magnoliopsida; Asparagales; Orchidaceae.
UGGCGCGACCAUACCAGCAUCAGUGCACCGGAUCCCAUUAGAACUCCUCAGUUAAGCAUGCUUGGGCGAGAGUAGUACGAGGAUGGGUGACCUCCUGGGAAGUCUUUGUAUUGCGCCCU